This is a long non-coding RNA of Dendronephthya gigantea, 652 nucleotides long. RefSeq lists it as uncharacterized. NCBI's taxonomy places the organism in Eukaryota, Metazoa, Cnidaria, Anthozoa, Malacalcyonacea, Nephtheidae. The record is from RefSeq and is a predicted model, not a curated record. The transcript has 3 exons.
CCUUAGAUAACUGCCUGAGAUGACUGCCUGAGAUGACUGCCCGAGAUGACUACUUUAGAUGACUGCCUGAGAUGACUGUCAAUUUACAUCCUGUGGACAAGUGCUGCAAGGCCAACGCCAUCCAGAAUAUGGAGUCCUAAUCAUUUUGUUCUAUUAUUGCUAGCCAUGCAACGAACUGCCAACGAUGACCUUCCCGGGGCAGAACAAAAGCUAUUCGGAGGCAUGUCAUUUAGUGUUAUCAGUUAACUGGACUUUGUGAGAGUUCUCUUGCAAAAUGUUUGCCAAGGUGGCGAUCGAAGGUGGACAGCAAGAUCGAAGCUCAGCAAGAUAGAAGAUUGUUCGAGGAAGAAGGAGUUCGCCGUUGACUAAAAGGUCUAUCUGAACAGCUAGUUGUCAAGAUGAAGGUGACUCGCCCGGCCAAAUUCAAAAUGGCGAUGCCAAAGAAAACCAUCCACGUGGACUGUUCGCGGACCUUUCUGAGCAAGAUUGUUGUGCUGUCUGGUCAAAGUUAAGUAUUUUACUUUGAUGUUUGUGUGCCUUCUGCUAAUUGUUGGCCAGAAAUAACAAAAAACCAUAUACAAUAUGAAAUAUUCUGCGUACAAGGUUAUCUAAAGUUUCGAGUUUAAUUCUGCCUGUAAUGAUAAUUUUUUAC